Molecule: ribosomal RNA, 464 nt
Filed under: uncultured bacterium
Lineage: Bacteria
Description: bacterial SSU rRNA
Rfam family: Bacterial small subunit ribosomal RNA
Source: RNAcentral
AACGAACGCUGGCGGCAGGCCUAACACAUGCAAGUCGAGCGAGAAGCAAGUCUUCGGAUUUGUGGAAAGCGGCGGACGGGUGCGUAACACGUGGGAAUCUACCUUGAAGUGGGGGAUAGCCAUUAGAAAUGAUGGAUAAUACCGCAUGAGCCCGAAAGGGGAAAGAUUUAUCGCUUUAAGAUGAGCCCGCGGAAGAUUAGCUUGUUGGUAAGGUAACGGCUUACCAAGGCGACGAUCUUUAGCUGGUCUGAGAGGAUGAUCAGCCACACUGGAACUGAGACACGGUCCAGACUCCUACGGGAGGCAGCAGUGGGGAAUCUUGCACAAUGGGCGCAAGCCUGAUGCAGCCAUGCCGCGUGCGUGAUGAAGGCCUUCGGGUUGUAAAACGCUUUUAGGUGCGAAGAUGAUGACAGUAACACCAGAAAAAGCCCCGGCUAACUUCGUGCCAGCCGCCGCCGUAACAC